CUAGAUCCACUUGUCCUGAAACAUAUCUCAAUAAGAAAAAUAACUAACUUGUGGUGUACACAUGAUUUUAUCAGAUCAAGCAAUUCAGGUGGUAAGCAUAGUUGUUAAGCCAAAGUCCCAAAAUUGUACAUGAUUGAAUGUUGCUGUAUAGGCUAACCAGGACUUACAUAAAUCUACCCGGCGUAAAAUGAACCUUCAUCAAGCGCUAGAGAGGGAGAUAUCACCCCUACGCCGCAACCACGGCUCGUCAAGAUCAGACAUAACUAUAGAAGAAUAGGGCAACAACACAGAGUAAGUUUCCUCUGCACUUAUAUUUUUAAUAUACAACACUCACGAUGGAGUCUCCAAAUCGCAAUAAUGGAGCGUUACAGAUUUUGUUAGAUCUAACUUGAACAGUGGCGGCGACUCGUGGAUCCCUUCCAAACAGCAGGAAAUCAAAGAUCUCGGACCUGACAAGGUAUGAAUCCUGAUGAUGUAGCCCCAAAAUAGCCAGGUCUUACUUAAUCGUAAUGGAAGAAACUGGAAGAAGCUAAUUAUGGUGGCCCGUGCAUUGCAACGGGGUAUCAAAAUUACGGCCUUUAAAUCGAGCAAUUCAGAACAUGAUAACUACAAUGAUUAUUAAUAAUGUACAUCCCAUCUUGUUAAUUGAAAUCAAAUAAAACUGAUCGCAGAUUGCUCUUCAGAAUUAGAUGCAAAACCCAACAUUCAUGUUUACAUAAGAAUAGUGCAGAAAUGCGGAUUAAUAAUUCCCCUAUACAUAUCAUGUCAUGCUAAAUAACUGUAUACAUAUGCAGAUAUUGACCUACGAAUUUCACCAACAAAUCAUGAUAUAGUCUUACAUUUAACAAAAUGGUAAAAAAUAGAAUCAAUCAUAGCUAAUAGCAAUAUAAUAAAUUCUUGUGAAUGAUAGUUUGGCUAUACAUGGAAACCUAAGAUCAGAUUAACUCGUGACGGAAGAAGGCGUUGUAGCAACAUAAUAAUUAAAAUCCAUCGGAAGAAUAUUUCUGAAAUUACACACUAUGCACAAGCAUAUGGAAAAAGGAUCACUAAACAUCAUGAUCUAGUAAAAGUACAUGAGAGAAAAAACUGAAAAAAUAACAGUCAAUUAUUUUAUAGAACUUCCCUUUGUUCUUCAAACAAAUGGUAACAAUCAUGAUGCCAUAUUAGAGCUUAUUCAGGACAUCUUUUUUUACUAAAGGGAGUAGUAUGUUUCAGCAAAAGUGUCAAACUAUGUCUACACAUUUUACAUACAAUUAUCUCUGUCAUCUGGACCUACACUGCUCUGCACCUCAUUAAAAUCCUAUCCAUCAAAAUUUAUGCCAUUAACAAAAUCUAGGACUUGGGUGUUAACGGCUAAAAAGCAGUUUCGCUAAGUCCUCAGUGGUGUUGCACCAAUAAUAUGGUGGAGUGCUUGAAUCCGUCAUCAGCGUCAACUAUCAAAGUUAGACACUGGUCACCAGUCAUGCACUGCCUCCCAUUCAGAACAUAGUGAGGAUAAGCAGGCCAGACACGAAGUCUGCGGCAGUGGCCAUGAGGGCGACGAUCGGGUGCCCAUGGUGCAGCGCCGAGCUACAGAACACUCCCACGACCUUGCCGCAUCCAGCGGAGAGGGAGCACCGGUAGCAGCUUGUAGGGAUAGACGUGCUCGUGGCCGGGGAUCACCCGGGAAAGCGUUGGUUGGAGGUGCCUCCCGCUUCAGUUGCUUAUAGGAAGGAAUGUACAUGACAAACUUGCUACCGCUGAAGAAUCAUAUGAAUCAACCUAUGUGUUUUCAAGACGUAUGAAACACACGAAAAGACUGAGCCUUCACGUGAAGUUUGCAGGUUUGCAUCAACAAUAGAGAAGUAAGAGGAAUUAGAUUAAUAAGAGUACUAAACAGGGUGGCGGCCGCCAAGGAGCGAAUUGAUCAUCUCACCUUGACGCAAUAGCUUGGUCCAAGUUGGUGGCACUUCUGUAGGUAGUAUUGACCGCGCCACCAAUGCCAAUCCCGUGAAAGCCAGCCUGAAUGAAAGGCACAAGAGGAAACCAGAGACACUAAAUAAGAACAGUCGUCCAUCUAAUGAAGACCUGACCAAACAAAAUCGAAUCUCUGUGUCAGCUUUCUUACCAUGUCACGUCUGCCAGCCCAGAAGGGGAUUAACUUUCACCUGCGGUGGCAUGGCCCUGAACCGAUAGUAAGGAGAACUGAACGGGAGAGUGCCUCCCAGGAUCUUCGCAUCCCCAAGAACGGAUCUUCGUUUCCGUAAGCAGGAGCUCUGUGCUGGUGCCAAUCCAGUGCCACCGGACCGGUGAACCAACCACCACCGCACCUCCCUCUUCCUUUCUCCUCCCCCCUUGUUAAUGUACAUCCCACCUUGUUAAUUGAAAUCAAAUAAAACUGAUCGCAGAUUGCUCUUCAGAAUUAGAUGCAAAACCCAACAUUCAUGUUUACAUAAGAAUAGUGCAGAAAUGCGGAUUAAUAAUUCCCCUAUACAUAUCAUGUCAUGCUAAAUAACUGUAUACAUAUGCAGAUAUUGACUUACGAAAUUCACCAACAAAUCAUGAUAUAGUCUUACAUUUAACAAAAUGGUAAAAAAAUAGCAUCAAUCAUAGCCAAUAGCAAUAUAAUAAAUUCUUGUGAAUGAUAGUUUGGCUAUACAUGGAAACCUAAGAUCAGAUUAACUCGUGACGGAAGAAGGCGUUGUAGCAACAUAAUAAUUAAAAUCCAUCGGAAGAAUAUUUCUGAAAUUACACACUAUGCACAAGCAUAUGUAAAAAGGAUCACUAAACAUCAUGAUCUAGUAAAAGUACAUGAGAGAAAAAAACUGAAAAAAUAACAGUCAAUUAUUUUAUAGAACUUCCCUUUGUUCUUCGGAACAAAUGGUAACAAUCAUGAUGCCAUAUUAGAGCUUAUUCAGGACAUCUUUUUUUACUAAAGGGAGUAGUAUGUUUCUGUUUCAGCAAAAGUGUCAAACUACGUCUACACAUUUUACGUACAAUUAUCUCUGUCAUCUGGACCUACACUGCUAUGCACCUCAUUAAAAUCCUAUCCAUCAAAAUUUAUGCCAUUAACAAAAUCUAGGACUUGGGUGUCAAUGGCUAAAAAGCAGUUUCGCUAAGUCCUCAGUGGUGUUGCACCAAGAAUAUGGUGGAGUGCUUGAAUCCGUCAUCAGCGUCAACUAUCAAAGUUAGACACUGGUCACCAGUCAUGCACUGCCUCCCAUUCAGAACAUAGUGAGGAUAAGCAGGCCAGACACGAAGUCUGCGGCAGUGGCCAUGAGGGCGACGAUCGGGUGCCCAUGGUGCAGCGCCGAGCUACAGAACACUCCCACGACCUUGCCGCAUCCAGCGGAGAGGGAGCACCGGUAGCAGCUUGUAGGGAUAGACGUGCUCGUGGCCGGGGAUCACCCGGGAAAGCGUUGGUUGGAGGUGCCUGCCGCUUCAGUUGCUUAUAGGAAGGAAUGUACAUGACAAACUUGCUACCGCUGAAGAAUCAUAUGAAUCAACCUAUGUGUUUUCAAGACGUAUGAAACACACGAAAAGACUGAGCCUUCACGUGAAGUUUGCAGGUUUGCAUCAACAAGAGAGAAAUAAGAGGAAUUAGAUUAAUAAGAGUACUAAACAGGGUGGCGGCCGCCAAGGAGCGAAUUGAUCAUCUCACCUUGACGCAAUAGCUUGGUGCAAGUUGGUGGCACUUCUGUAGGUAGUAUUGACUGCGCCACCAAUGCCAAUCCCGUGAAAGCCAGCCUGAAUGAAAGGCACAAGAGGAAACCAGAGACACUAAAUAAGAACAGUCGUCCAUCUAAUGAAGACCUGACCAAACAAAAUCGAAUCUCUGUGUCAGCUUUCUUANNNNNNNNNNNNNNNNNNNNNNNNNNNNNNNNNNNNNNNNNNNNNNNNNNNNNNNNNNNNNNNNNNNNNNNNNNNNNNNNNNNNNNNNNNNNNNNNNNNNCAUGUCACGCCUGCCGGCCCAGAAGGGGAUUAACUUUCACCUGCUGUGGCAUGGCCCUGAACCGAUAGCAAGGAGAACUGAACGGGAGAGUGCCUCCCUGGAUCUUCGCAUCCCCAAGAACGGAUCGUCGUUUCCGUAAGCAGGAGCUCUGUGCUGGUGCCAAUCCAGUGCCACCGGACCGGUGAACCAACCACCACCGCACCUCCCUCUUCCUUUCUCCUCCCCCCCUUGUUAAUGUACAUCCCACCUUGUUAAUCGAAAUCAAAUAAAACUGAUCGCAGAUUGCUCUUCAGAAUUAGAUGCAAAGCCCAGCAUUCAUGUUUACAUAAGAAUAGUGCAGAAAUGCGGAUUAAUAAUUCCCCUAUACAUAUCAUGUCAUGCUAAAUAACUGUAUACAUAUGCAGAUAUUGACUUACGAAAUUCACCAACAAAUCAUGAUAUAGUCUUACAUUUAACAAAAUGGUAAAAGAUAGCAUCAAUCAUAGCUAAUAGCAAUAUAAUAAAUUCUUGUGAAUGAUAGUUUGGCUAUACAUGGAAACCUAAGAUCAGAUUAACUCGUGACGGAAGAAGGCGUUGUAGCAACAUAAUAAUUAAAAUCCAUCGGAAGAAUAUUUCUGAAAUUACACACUAUGCACAAGCAUAUGGAAAAAGGAUCACUAAACAUCAUGAUCUAGUAAAAGUACAUGAGAGAAAAAACUGAAAAAAUAACAGUCAAUUAUUUUAUAGAACUUCCCUUUGUUCUUCAAAACAAAUGGUAACAAUCAUGAUGCCAUAUUAGAGCUUAUUCAGGACAUCUUUUUUUACUAAAGGGAGUAGUAUGUUUCAGCAAAAGUGUCAAACUAUGUCUACACAUUUUACAUACAAUUAUCUCUGUCAUCUGGACCUACACUGCUCUGCACCUCAUUAAAAUCCUAUCCAUCAAAAUUUAUGCCAUUAACAAAAUCUAGGACUUGGGUGUUAAUGGCUAAAAAGCAGUUUCGCUAAGUCCUCAGUGGUGUUGCACCAAGAAUAUGGUGGAGUGCUUGAAUCCGUCAUCAGCGUCAACUAUCAAAGUUAGACACUGGUCACCAGUCAUGCACUGCCUCCCAUUCACAACAUAGUGAGGAUAAGCAGGCCAGACACGAAGUCUGCGGCAGUGGCCAUGAGGGCGAUGAUCGGGUGCCCAUGGUGCAGCGCCGAGCUACAGAACACUCCCACGACCUUGCCGCAUCCAGCGGAGAGGGAGCACCGGUAGCAGCUUGUAGGGAUAGACGUGCUCGUGGCCAGGGAUCACCCGGGAAAGCGUUGGUUGGAGGUUCCUGCCGCUUCAGUUGCUUAUAGGAAGGAAUGUACAUGACAAACUUGCUACCGCUGAAGAAUCAUAUGAAUCAACCUAUGUGUUUUCAAGACGUAUGAAACACACGAAAAGACUGAGCCUUCACAUGAAGUUUGCAGGUUUGCAUCAACAAGAGAGAAAUAAGAGGAAUUAGAUUAAUAAGAGUACUAAACAGGGUGGCGGCCGCCAAGGAGCGAAUUGAUCAUCUCACCUUGACGCAAUAGCUUGGUGCAGAUUGGUGGCACUUCUGUAGGUAGUAUUGACUGCGCCACCAAUGCCAAUCCCGUGAAAGCCAGCCUGAAUGAAAGGCACAAGAGGAAACCAGAGACACUAAAUAAGAACAAUCAUCCAUCUAAUGAAGACCUGACCAAAAAAAAUCGAAUCUCUGUGUCAGCUUUCUUACCAUGUCACGUCUGCCGGCCCAGAAGGGGAUUAACUUUCACCUGCGGUGGCAUGGCCCUGAACCGAUAGUAAGGAGAACUGAACGGGAGAGUGCCUCCCUGGAUCUUCGCAUCCCCAAGAACAGAUCUUCGUUUCCGUAAGCAGGAGCUCUGUGCUGGUGCCAAUCCAGUGCCACCGGACCGGUGAACCAACCACCACCGCACCUCCCUCUUCCUUUCUCCUCCCCCCCAUGCUCUCUCUUCAUCUCUCUCAACUCACUCUACUCUCUCAGGAAGCAAGCUCGCCACCCAGGAGUUCAAGCCGCCGCCGCCGGUCGGCCCGUCCUUGACCGGAUCUGGAGUGCGUCGGGGACUUGCGGUGAGGAUCUCCAGAAGAAGAACGCCCAGGGAGUAGACGCCACCUGCAGGGCGCGGUAUCUGCCGGCGAGCGCGCGGACGGAUGGCGGUGCGUGGGUGGUGUGCAGGUAGAAGUCAGACAGCGCGGCGCCGCCACUCACCUUCUCCUCCGCCGCGCUGGAUUGAAUACACUGGAGGGGAAGGAGCACUGCGCAUUGAAUAUUCAG
RNAcentral lists this long non-coding RNA (6210 nucleotides) under Triticum aestivum (bread wheat). RNAcentral describes it as "long non-coding RNA (TAES_LNC007054)". Lineage: Eukaryota; Viridiplantae; Streptophyta; Magnoliopsida; Poales; Poaceae. The record is from RNAcentral.